CUGCACUCGGUGUGAUUGUCCCUGUUCCUGCUGCUGCCCAGAUUGAUGAUAUGCUGCCAAGACACGAUCCUGACGGAGGAAGAGCUAAUUAACUCCUGAAGUUAAAGUAAACUUGGACAAAUUAAGAUUGGCUGUGCUUUAUGAAGCUUAAGUUAAUAUCUGGAGUUGGUUCAUCAAGUUAAACAGCUGGUGGAGCUGGUCUGGCGGAAGUCUCCGGUGUGCAUGUGGUUGGGAGGCAGGGUCAAAGGAAACACUAGUGCGCUUUCUCUAUGGACCCCACAACAUGGAAGACCAUGCAGAAGCUGUGCAUAAGGACUGGAAAUUUUAAACCUGGAAGUUGAACUUUUUUGGCUUCCUGCGCCACUGAGCAACUUUCACAAGAAUGAACAGGGCCCCGCCUCUAACACCAUAUCCAGUUCUCUUUAUACAUCCGCGAUUCAACCAUUACAGCAGAAGCAGGCACAACAAGAUGAUGUAAUUAAAAGAGCGCCUCAAACAAUGAAAAAUAUCAGAAAACGUGGUGGAAAUAUAGCAUUCCUGUUUGAUACAUGUAUUAAUUUGAGGAGUGUUACAGUCUCCUCAUCGCUCCAUACAGAUUUUAUGUUUUUGUCUGUGACUAUUUUUCAUCUCUUCGGAGGAGCGGAAACGUAAGUGGACGUUUAAGUCACAAACUUCAUGUACAUCAUGAUUUAAAUGCUAAAUCUGUUUCCAUUGUACUCACAUUUUGUUUCUAUUGAUAUGACAACUUUUCACACCGCAACCAAGCAUAAAACUUCUUUGCAAUAUCUGUUUCCAUUUUCCCUUUUUACCCUUUUUUAUGC
Thunnus maccoyii (southern bluefin tuna) is the source of this 821-nucleotide long non-coding RNA. RefSeq lists it as uncharacterized. The record is from RefSeq and is a predicted model, not a curated record. NCBI's taxonomy places the organism in Eukaryota, Metazoa, Chordata, Actinopteri, Scombriformes, Scombridae. The transcript has 3 exons.